RNAcentral lists this ribosomal RNA (468 nucleotides) under uncultured bacterium. RNAcentral describes it as "partial 16S ribosomal RNA". It matches the Rfam family "Bacterial small subunit ribosomal RNA", at positions 28 to 507 of the family's 1533-position model. The record is from RNAcentral.
GACGAACGCUGGCGGCGUGCUUAACACAUGCAAGUCGAACGGCAAGGCCCUGCUUUUUUGGGGUUCUCGAGGGGCGAUCGGGUGCGUAACACGUGAGUAACCUGCCCUUGACUUUGGUAUAACUUCAGGUAACUGGGGCUAAUACCGUAUAGCAGCUCCUUCUGCGUGGUUGGGGUUGGAAAUUUUAGGCGGUUGGGGAUGGAUUCGCGGCUUAUCAGCUUGUUGGUGGGGUAGUGGCUUACCAAGGCUGUGACGGGUAGCCGGCCUGAGAGGGUGACCGGCCACAAUGGGACUGAGAGACGGCCCAGACUCCUACGGGAGGCAGCAGGGGGGAAUAUUGCACAAUGGGAGGAAGCCGGAGACAGCAACGACGCGUGCGGAAUGACGGUCUUUGGGGAGUAAACCGCUGUCGCCUGUGACGAAGCGGGAGUGACGGUAAUGGGUAAAGAAGCACCGGCUAACUACGUG